GACGAACGCUGGCGGCGUGCUUAACACAUGCAAGUCGAACGGAAAGGCCCUGCUUGCAGGGUCCUCGAGUGGCGAACGGGUGAGUAACACGUGGGUGAUCUGCCCUGCACUUCGGGAUAAGCUUGGGAAACUGGGUCUAAUACCGGAUAGGAACCAUCUUUAGUGUGGUGGUUGGAAAGUUGUUUCGGUGUAGGAUGAGCUCGCGGCCUAUCAGCUUGUUGGUGGGGUAAUGGCCUACCAAGGCGGCGACGGGUAGCCGGCCUGAGAGGGUGUACGGCCACAUUGGGACUGAGAUACGGCCCAGACUCCUACGGGAGGCAGCAGUGGGGAAUAUUGCACAAUGGGCGCAAGCCUGAUGCAGCGACGCCGCGUGGGGGAUGAAGGCCUUCGGGUUGUAAACUCCUUUCGCUAGGGACGAAGCUUUGUUGUGACGGUACCUAGAUAAGAAGCACCGGCUAACUACGUG
This 466-nucleotide ribosomal RNA is filed under the name uncultured bacterium. RNAcentral describes it as "partial 16S ribosomal RNA". It matches the Rfam family "Bacterial small subunit ribosomal RNA", at positions 28 to 507 of the family's 1533-position model. The record is from RNAcentral.